RNAcentral lists this ribosomal RNA (518 nucleotides) under Bathyteuthis sp. n AL-2020. Its description in RNAcentral is "partial 16S ribosomal RNA". It matches the Rfam family "Bacterial large subunit ribosomal RNA", at positions 1816 to 2600 of the family's 2925-position model. The record is from RNAcentral. Lineage: Eukaryota; Metazoa; Mollusca; Cephalopoda; Oegopsida; Bathyteuthidae.
GUCUCUUUGUUAAAAAUAUAUAAAGAGUUGGGCCUGCUCGGUGAAAUAGAUUUAUUUUUAACAGCUGCGGUAUUUUAACUGUACUAAGGUAGCAUAAUAAUUUGCCUUAUAAUUUGAGGCUAGAAUGAAUGGUUUGACGAAGGUUAAUCUGUCUCUAUCUUAUUUUUUAGAAUUUAAUUUUUAAAGUGAAAAGGCUUGAAUUUUUUAGAGGGACGAGAAGACCCUAAUGAGCUUAUAAUUUUAUUAUUAUUUUAUUAGUUGGAUUGAUAUAGUAAUAUAUAAUUUUAGUUGGGGUGAUUAAGGAAUAAAUUGUAUUAGUAACUUCCUUAGGUUAUAUGUUUUAUUAUAAAGUAACCAAUGUAGUAUUGCUUAUAUUAUAGUUACCAUAGGGAUAACAGCGUAAUUUAUUUAGAGAGUUCUUAUUGAAAAAUAAGAUUGCGACCUCGAUGUUGGAUUAAAGUAUCCUUAAGGUGUAGCAGCUUUAGUAGGUAAAUCUGUUCGAUUUUUAAAACUUUACA